RNAcentral lists this ribosomal RNA (1341 nucleotides) under uncultured bacterium. Its description in RNAcentral is "partial 16S ribosomal RNA". It matches the Rfam family "Bacterial small subunit ribosomal RNA", at positions 28 to 1381 of the family's 1533-position model. The record is from RNAcentral.
GACGAACGCUGGCGGCGUGCUUAACACAUGCAAGUCGAACGGUAAGGCUCCAGCUUGCUGGGGUACACGAGUGGCGAACGGGUGAGUAACACGUGGGUGACCUGCCCUGCACUUCGGGAUAAGCCUGGGAAACUGGGUCUAAUACCGGAUAGGACUGCACCGUGAGGGUGUGGUGGAAAGUUUUUUCGGUGUGGGAUGGGCCCGCGGCCUAUCAGCUUGUUGGUGGGGUAAUGGCCUACCAAGGCGGCGACGGGUAGCCGGCCUGAGAGGGUGGACGGCCACAUUGGGACUGAGACACGGCCCAGACUCCUACGGGAGGCAGCAGUGGGGAAUAUUGCACAAUGGGCGGAAGCCUGAUGCAGCGACGCCGCGUGGGGGAUGACGGCCUUCGGGUUGUAAACUCCUUUCACCAUCGACGAAGGGUUUCUGACGGUAGAUGGAGAAGAAGCACCGGCUAACUACGUGCCAGCAGCCGCGGUAAUACGUAGGGUGCGAGCGUUGUCCGGAAUUACUGGGCGUAAAGAGCUCGUAGGUGGUUUGUCGCGUCGUCUGUGAAAUUCCGGGGCUUAACUCCGGGCGUGCAGGCGAUACGGGCAUAACUUGAGUACUGUAGGGGAGACUGGAAUUCCUGGUGUAGCGGUGAAAUGCGCAGAUAUCAGGAGGAACACCGGUGGCGAAGGCGGGUCUCUGGGCAGUAACUGACGCUGAGGAGCGAAAGCAUGGGGAGCGAACAGGAUUAGAUACCCUGGUAGUCCAUGCCGUAAACGGUGGGCGUUAGGUGUGGGUUUCCUUCCACGGGAUCCGUGCCGUAGCUAACGCAUUAAGCGCCCCGCCUGGGGAGUACGGCCGCAAGGCUAAAACUCAAAGGAAUUGACGGGGGCCCGCACAAGCGGCGGAGCAUGUGGAUUAAUUCGAUGCAACGCGAAGAACCUUACCUGGGCUUGACAUAUACAGGAUCGCGCCAGAGAUGGUGUUUCCCUUGUGGCUUGUAUACAGGUGGUGCAUGGUUGUCGUCAGCUCGUGUCGUGAGAUGUUGGGUUAAGUCCCGCAACGAGCGCAACCCUUGUCUUAUGUUGCCAGCACGUUGUGGUGGGGACUCGUAAGAAACUGCCGGGGUUAACUCGGAGGAAGGUGGGGAUGACGUCAAAUCAUCAUGCCCCUUAUGUCCAGGGCUUCACACAUGCUACAAUGGUCGGUACAGUGGGUUGCCAGUCCGUGAGGGCGAGCUAAUCCCGCAAAGCCGGUCUCAGUUCGGAUCGGGGUCUGCAACUCGACCCCGUGAAGUCGGAGUCGCUAGUAAUCGCAGAUCAGCAACGCUGCGGUGAAUACGUUCCCGGGCCU